GACGAACGCUGGCGGCGUGCUUAACACAUGCAAGUCGAGCGGUAAGGCCCUUUCGGGGGUACACGAGCGGCGAACGGGUGAGUAACACGUGGGUGACCUGCCCUUAGCUCUGGGAUAAGCCUGGGAAACUGGGUCUAAUACCGGAUAUGACUCCAUAACGCAUGUUGUGGGGUGGAAAGCCUUGUGCGGCUAGGGAUGGGCCCGCGGCCUAUCAGCUUGUUGGUGGGGUGAUGGCCUACCAAGGCGACGACGGGUAGCCGGCCUGAGAGGGCGACCGGCCACACUGGGACUGAGACACGGCCCAGACUCCUACGGGAGGCAGCAGUGGGGAAUCUUGCGCAAUGGGCGAAAGCCUGACGCAGCGACGCCGCGUGGGGA
Molecule: ribosomal RNA, 378 nt
Filed under: uncultured bacterium
Lineage: Bacteria
Description: bacterial SSU rRNA
Rfam family: Bacterial small subunit ribosomal RNA
Source: RNAcentral